GGGCCCGCACAAGCGGUGGAGCAUGUGGUUUAAUUCGAUGCAACGCGAAAAACCUUACCUACCCUUGACAUCCCUGAAAUCGUCUAGUAGUAGACGAGUGCCUUCGGGAAUCAGGUGACAGGUGCUGCAUGGCUGUCGUCAGCUCGUGUCGUGAGAUGUUAGGUUAAGUCCUGCAACGAGCGCAACCCCUAUACUUAUUUGCCAGCACGUUAUGGUGGGAACUAUAAGUAGACUGCCGGUGAUAAACCGGAGGAAGGUGGGGAUGAUGUCAAGUCAUCAUGGCCCUUAUGGGUAGGGCUACACACGUGCUACAAUGGACAGUACAAUUGGUUGCAAACCCGCGAGGGGGAGCUAAUCCAAGAAAGCUGUUCUCAGUCCGGAUUGGAGUCUGCAACUCGACUCCAUGAAGUCGGAAUCGCUAGUAA
Molecule: ribosomal RNA, 425 nt
Filed under: uncultured bacterium
Lineage: Bacteria
Description: bacterial SSU rRNA
Rfam family: Bacterial small subunit ribosomal RNA
Source: RNAcentral